UUCAGCACUCCCACUAGGAUGGGAUGGCCCAUAAAGGUACAACUCCACAUCCUGCAAACUGCUCGUUUUGUAGAUCUGCUUUAUAGUAUGCGAAUGAUGACACUAUUAUUACUGCCAGCCAAAGUUAAACAAUUAAAUUUCUUCUUGCCUAGUAAAUGGGAUCAACAGGAUGUGGGUCUAGGAGGAGGUCAUCAGCUGUAUGAGCUACACCUGGGCCCUGUGUGGUAGGGAGCUAAAAAGCUCUCCACCUUUAUGUCUUACUCCCUUUUAUUGCGGGUUUAGCUGCUGUUUGUUUUUUGUGUUGUGAUUGACAUUUCCACACACACGUAUACUAACAUGACUGAUACUGAUUUCCAUCUUAUUAUCUUUAAUAUCAUUUUGUAAAAUAAAUUAUGUUAUUGUUAA
Micropterus salmoides (largemouth bass) is the source of this 405-nucleotide long non-coding RNA. RefSeq lists it as uncharacterized. The record is from RefSeq and is a predicted model, not a curated record. The transcript is spliced from 2 exons. Lineage: Eukaryota; Metazoa; Chordata; Actinopteri; Centrarchiformes; Centrarchidae.